Non-coding RNA from Leptonychotes weddellii (Weddell seal), 2877 nucleotides. The record is from RefSeq and is a predicted model, not a curated record. NCBI's taxonomy places the organism in Eukaryota, Metazoa, Chordata, Mammalia, Carnivora, Phocidae.
GCCCUGGGGGGUCGGGUACAGAAGAGGGACACAGUCAGUGUUAGGGUGUUAACAGCUUUCCAAAAGCUGUUCAAGAGAGUGAACAGGUUGGGAUGGGGGUGAUGAAGACAAAGAGGCCCCGGAAGUGGAGUUCUUGUCCAGGGUCGCAGAGCUGGGGGGAGCACUGCAGACUGAAGCACAGAGGUUAGCCUGAGGUCACUGGGUUCCAGGGCUGGGUGAGAUGCAGGGGAGCCUGGAGCCCAUGGAACCCUGCCACGGUCACCUGCUUCUUGCAACUUUCCUCUUCAUGCAGAUUGUUACAAGUAUAGCAGCACUUAGGGAACCCAGAGAAGUGAGUGAGCGGAUGGUGUUCCAGAACCUCACUGGUCCUGAUCCCUCUCAUGAUCUUUGUGACUGUGGUGUCCUGGAACUCUUCACAUCAUUCUUCCAGGCCUUGGGCCUGGGGACCUGGAACAGAUUCUAAGCCCAGGGUCCUCAGAUCAGGCUAGAGGUUAUAUGGAGUGGUUCCUAUUGCUGGCAACCAGUGGAGUGAGGUGUGGAGGAAUGUUGCCCCAGCAUGGGUACCAGUGUGUGCAGACCCUUGGAGGGGAGACUGAGCUGAAUAAGGGAACCUCAGUGUCCUUUCUUGUGGGAACAGAGAGCAAGGGGGCAGGAGCCAGACCUGGAUGGCACCCUGAGAAGUUGGGUGUCUAUUCUGGAGGUGAUGGGAACAAUGGAAGGUUUGGAGCAGUGGAGGGAUCUGAUCAAGCUCUUAUGGGGCUUCCUGUGAUUGCACCGUGGAGAACAGACUAGGGGUGUGAGGAAAGUGGCAGGAAGACCAGGGAAGAGGGUACUGCAGUAGUCCAGUGAGUGUUGAUGAUGUGGACCAAUGCGGUGGCCUUGGAGGUAGAAAAAGUGGCUGGAUUCUGAAUCAAGUUUUUUUUAGUAGGUCUGUGAUUUUCUGAUUUUGAAGAUGAGAGAGAAAAUAGUAGAAGUCAGGGGUGACUGCAAGAUUUUUGGUUUAUCAGCUGGAAGGCUAGAAGCUCCAACUGGGACGUAGAAGUCGGUGAUAGGAUUAAUUUUCCUUCAAGAUACUAGUUUUGUUUUGGCCAUGUUAAGUAUAUGAGAUGUUUCAGAGAACUAAUGAGUAGAAGUAGAAAUGGGUAGCUGGAUGCACAGGUCUGCAAAAUGUGGACCAGGAUGGAGCUGUGUUUCUUAGUUUGGGCAGCUAAAACAAAAUACCUUUAUUUCUCAGAGUUCUGGAAGCCAGGAAGUCCAAGAUGAAAGUGCUGGCAGCUUCAUUUCCUGGUGAGGGUCUCUCUUCCUGUCUUGCUGAUGGCUGCCUCCUCACUGUAUCCUCACAUAGCCUUUUGUUGGUGCAAACAAGUGAAGAGAGCAGGAGAUCUUUCUCUCCUUAGAAGGGUCCCACCCUCCGAAUCUAAACCUCCCAAAGCCCCAACCUCCAAAUACCAUCACACUGGGGGUUAGGGCUCCAACGAAUGAUUUUGGGAGGGUGCAUACACUCAGUCCAUAAUUGCUGUGGAUCACAUUUAGGCAGGGUAAUCCCAGCCAUGAUGAUGUUAAUAGUAGUCCAGGAAGGGGAGGGCGGGAUCAGAGGGCUGGGUCUCAUGCUUGGUCACCUAUUUGUGGAGUGGCAGACAUCAUAAACACAAGUGAAAGACAGAAGUGGUGGUGGGAACAGUGUAGAAGUGUAUGAGAUGGCCACCAUGUACAGAUGGCCAAGGCUUCUGAGGGAUGAGAUGCAGAGGCAUAGGGGUGGUGGAGGCAGUGAGGCCAGGACUGCUGCUUAUUCAGUGCUCUGGGGUCACCAGGAUUUUGUCAUGACCUUGGUGUGUCAAGGGAGUUUCAGCCAGGCACGUGGAUUAGCUCAGGGGCCAAGCUCAGGGGCCAAGUGGUCAUGUAGGAGAAUUGCUGGACCUGGGGUGGAAGGUCUCUGGCACUGGUUUUGAAUGAGGGUUAGGAAGAGAGGAAGGCUUGACAGGCGAGAGCCCAUCAAGUACAGCACAAGUGGAGGAGGGUCAUGGGUGGUUGUGAGUGGCUGAGGUUGAAGCAAGGACUAGUCAGGCAGGGAGAGCUGUAGAGCAGGAUUCUGGGCUGUCUCUGCCACUGGAGAUGGGGUAGUUCUGGAUCCUGUUUGAAUUGCCAGCACUCUAUAUGCCAUGUGCUGAAUAACAUGGAGCAAGGAGAACUGGGGGAGGGAGUGGGAACUGAAGGCCUGAGGGCCCUGGCAUUGAAAUGGGAGCCCACACCCUUAGUUAUGUCUGAGGGGUAUGAUCUGGGGGAUCCUAGCAGAAUUGCUUAACGAGAAAGAGUAUUUCCCUGCAGGCCAGGCCCGGAGCUUAGGUAUCGUCUAACUGCCCACCUACCUGUGGCUGCUGUGGAUGGAUAUAGUGAUCAAAGGGACCAGGAGGAGAGAGUGGGCAUCAGUGGCAUCAGGGCAUCUCUUCUCUGAGAUGGGGAAAUGAGGAGGUGGGUGAGCAGGGGAAGAAUGAGUGGGUAGAUGAACUUGGGGUCCUAGGAGAGAAGCUGAUUGUAGAAUGAACCGUCCCAUUAUUGGCAGAGUUGUGUGACCUUUGAGGAUGUGGCUGUGUACUUCUCCCAGGAGGAGUGGGGGCUCCUUGAUGAGGCACAGAGGCUCCUGUACCACAAUGUUAUGCUAGAGAACUUUGCACUUACAACAUCCAUGGGACUUGCUUCAUUCGGGUCCCAUGUAGUUACACAACUGGGAGUCUGGGGAGCGCCCUGCUUGCUUCACAGGGUGAACAUGACAGGAUGGUCUCAGAGGAAGCCUGGCCCUGCAGUGUGUGAGACUUCCAAUUCCUUCACACCCUUGUCAAUGCCUGAGAGAGAAAGAGAGCACAGCACAAGCAAGGGGAG